This 163-nucleotide ribosomal RNA is filed under the name Chaetosciadium trichospermum. Its description in RNAcentral is "5.8S ribosomal RNA". It matches the Rfam family "5.8S ribosomal RNA". From Rfam's summary of the family: 5.8S ribosomal RNA (5.8S rRNA) is a component of the large subunit of the eukaryotic ribosome. It is transcribed by RNA polymerase I as part of the 45S precursor that also contains 18S and 28S rRNA. The record is from RNAcentral. Lineage: Eukaryota; Viridiplantae; Streptophyta; Magnoliopsida; Apiales; Apiaceae. RNAcentral also lists the same sequence under 1 other name.
CAAACGACUCUCGGCAACGGAUAUCCCGGCUCUCGCAUCGAUGAAGAACGUAGCGAAAUGCGAUACUUGGUGUGAAUUGCAGAAUCCCGUGAACCAUCGAGUCUUUGAACGCAAGUUGCGCCCGAAGCCACUAGGCCGAGGGCACGUCUGCCUGGGUGUCACG